GAAAUACAGCUGUUGUCUCUGUGCUGAGGGAAGAGCAAAAGAGGGAAUCUGAGUUUUAUGGACAAAAUGAAAGAUGUCCUGGAUGAAGGAAUUGUUUUCUAGGAUGAUAUGUACUUCAGAUUGUUUUCUAGUGAGGAAGACAGUGGAUAAUGUAAGAGAAUUUUGCUCAUGCUUCUCCUACAACUGUUGGCUUGCUUAAAGUGUAAACAUAGACCCUUGAAGUGUCUCCAAGACCCAGGAAGACAUUCUGCUGCACCACACAGCAGAAGUGGAGGAGUGGACAGUACUUAACAGUCCUUGUAUAAGAGAAUGCAGCAACCAAUAGCUCUUCAAGAUCCUCUGUCUCAUUCAAAUUCACGCCCUGUCUAUCAUUAGAAAACAAACAGCAAAUGAAAAACAUUGCAGAAUGAAAAUUGGACAGAAUGCAGAGAUCAGUGGACUCUAGUCACAAUGGAUAUACUGGCAGCAUGGCUCCUGCAUCUGUGGUCCAUCCUAAAUGCAGAGAAAAUAAUUUAUAUUAUAUUAGCAGUGCUAUAAUAAUAAUAUAUAACAAUAGUGUUAUAAUAGCAGUGUUUAGAAAGU
Molecule: long non-coding RNA, 582 nt
Filed under: Mus musculus (house mouse)
Lineage: Eukaryota; Metazoa; Chordata; Mammalia; Rodentia; Muridae
Description: predicted gene, 39631 (Gm39631)
Source: RNAcentral